This 490-nucleotide ribosomal RNA is filed under the name uncultured bacterium. RNAcentral's name for it is "partial 16S ribosomal RNA". It matches the Rfam family "Bacterial small subunit ribosomal RNA", at positions 30 to 507 of the family's 1533-position model. The record is from RNAcentral.
AUUGAACGCUGGCGGCAGGCCUAACACAUGCAAGUCGAACGGUAACAGGAAGAAGCUUGCUUCUUUGCUGACGAGUGGCGGACGGGUGAGUAAUGUCUGGGAAACUGCCUGAUGGAGGGGGAUAACUACUGGAAACGGUAGCUAAUACCGCAUAACGUCGCAAGACCAAAGAGGGGGACCUUCGGGCCUCUUGCCAUCGGAUGUGCCCAGAUGGGAUUAGCUAGUAGGUGGGGUAACGGCUCACCUAGGCGACGAUCCCUAGCUGGUCUGAGAGGAUGACCAGCCACACUGGAGCUGGGACACGGUCCAGACUCCCACGGGAGGCAGCAGUGGGGAAUAGUGCACAAUGGGCGCAAGCCUGAUGCAGCCAUGCCGCGUGUAUGAAGAAGGCCUUCGGGUUGUAAAGUACUUUCAGCGGGGAGGAAGGGAGUAAAGUUAAUACCUUUGCUCAUUGACGUUACCCGCAGAAGAAGCACCGGCUAACUCCGUG